Long non-coding RNA from Gallus gallus (chicken), 983 nucleotides. The record is from Ensembl. NCBI's taxonomy places the organism in Eukaryota, Metazoa, Chordata, Aves, Galliformes, Phasianidae.
GCCUCUCCGGGACCCCCAGGAGCGCACUGACAGAGCUCUCCCCAGGCAGGGCAGGUCACGGCAGCAGCACACAGCCGAACAGACCUAGCACGGUUCACGGGGAUGAACCCUAACCUCAGGCUGAGUGAAGGAACAGCUGACGGAGGUGCUACGCAGUCAGAGAAGCCAAGUGAGGGUGUACGUGUUCUGCAGAUGUCGUCAGAACAGAGCACAGCCUUCAACACUGCUCCCCUGCAUCACCUCACAAAGGAUUCUUCUGUGUGCCUGGCUUGUUUUCCCAACGCUUGGCUUACAAAGGCCCUGGAAGAAAGCCGAGUGAAAGUGCCUGCUGACCUCUCCUGCCGACAGCCCCUGUUGCUCAUCUCAACUGCAUCUGAUAGAACACAGCACAUUCCUUUAAAUAUUUUAUCCACUCAGUGAUCAUGGGUGAAAGAUAGAACUAACAAGAAAUGACAAGUGAAAUAACUACAUUUCCGGACCUGACAACACUCUUUAUUUCUAAUUCUACCAAGGCUGUGGGCAGGCAUUAGGGUACAGCUUUUAUGAGAGAUUAAAUAAGUGAUCUUAGCAUUCAAGUUAUAGUACACACAUCCCGACCUGAGAGUUCACUCGGAAACAGGAGGAAGUGAAAGAAAACAGGUGAGGAAAUUGGGUGCUUCCUUACUUUGCACCAAAUGCUCUUUCUACCCCGUGACUUUGCUCUUGUAAAAAAGCAUUAUUUCCUUCAGAGACACCCGAACAAAGCAUAAAGAAACAGACUGGACUGACGACAGGAUAAGGUAUCCAACUCCACUAAAUGAGUUACAGCAAAAUCUCCCAGUAAAAUAUUUCCAGGAAGAGUUUUGUACGCUGUGUCGAAAAUACCAAACUGCAGUGGGUUGUAAAUAGUCCAAUGGAUGCUUCCACAGAAAGUUCUAAAAGGCCAUCGUAUCACACUGCACUGCUAUUAAUACAAUCUCCGCCAAAAUAUUGUUUCAAAUCCC